Molecule: long non-coding RNA, 286 nt
Organism: Rhinopithecus roxellana (golden snub-nosed monkey)
Lineage: Eukaryota; Metazoa; Chordata; Mammalia; Primates; Cercopithecidae
Exons: 3
Source: RefSeq, a predicted model, not a curated record
GGAGUUGUUUUCAGGCAAUGCUGACCAAUAGAUAAAAUGAGCCCCAAAUGUGAACUCUAUAUGUAAAUUUCAAUUUUCUAGAAGAUACAUUUAAGAAGGCUAAUGGUCCAUUAUGCCACCAGCCAUGUGGAAAUAACAUCCCAGGGCUGCCUCAUCUGACUUCGUUUUUCCCAAGACAAUACGAACACUAUCAGAAAAGAGGCUAGCUUGUGAGCUGAGUCGGCUGCAGCAGCUCUAAACCACACAUUGCUGAUGAGUGAGAACCUCUGUUAUAAAUGGAAAUGUG